Molecule: non-coding RNA, 318 nt
Organism: Paramuricea clavata
Lineage: Eukaryota; Metazoa; Cnidaria; Anthozoa; Malacalcyonacea; Plexauridae
Source: the annotation of a GenBank genome assembly
AAUUCACUUAUUCACCAAUAGUGACGCCAUAUUGAAUCAUGAUGCAUUAUGGGUUAUCCAGGGUAAAAAUCCGAAUUCAAAAGCCUUUAAUGUCGUAUUGAGACACAAUACGAUAAUUUUUUUUUGCAAACAAUUUCUUGAUGACAAUGAGACAGUAUAAAUCAAUUUUAUGCGCACUUUGGUGAAAUUAUUUCCCUUUUUAGGCCUAACAAAGAUUUAAACUAUAGAUUUUAUCCUGAUUUUUUUUAUUUUUCCCAGCUUUUGUGUGUUUUCCUAGUUCUUCUAAAAAUUGUCUGUUAUUUUUAACUAUAAAAACGU